UAGAAAAAGUAAUGCAGGGAAGCAUAAAGCUGAUCAUUAGGGAAGGGUCGUUGUGCUUUGGGCAUGCCGUGUGACAAUGGUGGUGUGUUGGUGUUUGCCACCACUUUGCACAUGCUGGUACCCUGGCGAAGGGACCAACGCUGGUGGAAAUGCACAGGGGUCGACCUAUUUAAGCCCACGGCGCCCGGCAUCGAUCGUCCAGAAUCGUUUGAACCAUCGUGCAGUAAAGUUCUCUUCAGCCAGGAGCCACUGGCACACACAAGCGUGCCUGAUGCGACUUUCGAAUCAGUGCCAAGCCGAGCCAAGACUCUGUUGGAGUCUACAGUGUGUGCAGUAUGUGUGACAAGCAAGAGAGGCUAACGAUAACCCACACAAGUAUUGAACGAAAGUUGAGUGAAAGUGCUAACAGUUGAUGAAACUAUUCGUCGAUCGCCGAUAUGUGGAAAAAGGAUUUUCCUUAAACUCUUCUACUGGAUAUGGAUUGUCUGUGCAUAUGAAGAACAACCAGAUCCUUUUCAACGUUGUCACCAUGAAUGGAAAUAUCUUUAAACAGUGCAGUAUGAUCAUGUUUGGCCCAGCACCACACCAACUUGAGCACGAUAACAGUAAUCGUUCCUCACACGGUCGCACUAGAUCGCAUUAGUGAAGAUCCGAAGAUAGAUCCUUGAAUCAAAGGAUAUUCGGAGAGUAAUACAAAACGCAAUUCAAAAUGGCUACUGGAACCAGAAAAACCCGCUACCACUUCAAGGAACACAGUGUACGGACAGAGCAUGACGGUAUAAGUCGUGGGAAAGAUGUUAGAAAAAUCAUAACAUGACGUGACUGUUUCCUUAAGAUACACUCUCUGACCCGUCACCGUCUAACAGUAAAAGUGGAAAGGAUGGACACAACAGACUGCAGCUGCUACUGGAACGCUUCAAGCGCAAGCCACUUGGCCAUCGCCAUAAAAGCUUUGAAGACUGCCCACAUCUUCGGUACCUUGGAUUUCUACAGUACACAAAGCGCUUUCAGGAAGGUUUAAAUUCAACAGUGCUUAUCGCAUCAGGAUCAAUUUUUAAAUUCUUUUUCCGCCAUGUUUCGAUGCCGACUUUGUGCCUUUUUUAAAUCCUCUAUUCAAAACACAUUUAUCAAGAGCAGAAGCAGAGUAUCAUCGUUAAGUUUGAGUUGGAGCAUCAUGUUUCGUUCGCCGCCAUUUCCUGUUGAUUUGACUGUUGUUGAUUGUUGUUGGCUAAUUGUAAUUGUUCCAUCAUUAUUAGGGUUUUCUCACGUACGUUGGUUGUUCAAUUGUUAUGCUAUGCAUGAUAGCGAGCUUCGUUAAUCUUCAUUGCACUAAUUGCUUUUUUUCUUUUUUUUACAGUUUUGUAAAAAAAAAGAUUAAAAACCAAUUACUUUUCCAACUUUUCCAUCCCUGAAAUACCACUUGGAACUUGUUACAUUAACGUCCGUUAUACCGUUACUUCCGUUAUCAAACGUUACUUCUUGUUUGUGUUAUUUCGUGCUGUUAACUUCUUCAUUGUUUUGUUACUUUCAUUCAGUUACCGGUUAGUUCAGUUAUAACAAACUUUUGUUUCGUUAAAUAUUUCGUAGAAAGCAACACAAAAAGCAACUCCCACUAUCCCGUCGUUUUCGUUUCGUUUGCUCUCGAUGUACCUGUUUGGUUAUGUUUAUCCUUUCUUUUCCGUUUUUGUUUCGCAUUAAUCGCAAUUGUUACUGUUUAUGUUACAAUGGACAUAGUUUUUGUUGUUGAUGUUGUUGUUGUUAUUGUUGAUCCUCCUCCAAACCCCGCUUUUUCCUUUCUUGUUUCACUCAUUUUGUUUUCUGUUUUACUGAGUUUUUGUUCUGUUUUACCUUUCUGUUUUCAAAAUUUCACAAAGAUGCUCUAACAACUCUGCUUCUCGCUGUCUUUAUGCUCUGCUCCAGUACAAAUUGAACCAUUUUCUUUUUCAAUAUUGUGUUACCCUUCCGGCUGAAUUUUCACAACAUGAAGCACAAUAGACAAUGUCCACUAACCGCGCUAACAAAUCCUUCAGGCAGCAUAAUCACAAGGGUGAACUUAAAAGUAACUCUGUAUGAUAUACGUAAAAAUUUUGCGAACAGCAAAACAUUUAUUAUUUUCAAAGUUUAUGAACUGUUAACUAGUUUUAAGAAAUACACGUUAAUUACCACAGAGAUUCCACAUAGAAGCAGCCAUACAGUCAAAGCAACGAAUUGAAAAAGAAAAAUCACAAAUUCCACCUCGAAUUCCGCAAGUCCAAUAAGAAAAAAUCAACACAUGCCACAUUCCUCUGGUAAUAUACAAAUACCGACAUGGUUACCGGUUCAAAAACGCAAAAUAAAUGCAUAAUUAAC
This is a long non-coding RNA of Anopheles stephensi (Asian malaria mosquito), 2349 nucleotides long. RefSeq lists it as uncharacterized. Lineage: Eukaryota; Metazoa; Arthropoda; Insecta; Diptera; Culicidae. The transcript has 2 exons. The record is from RefSeq and is a predicted model, not a curated record.